RNAcentral lists this ribosomal RNA (300 nucleotides) under Triticum aestivum (bread wheat). RNAcentral's name for it is "partial small subunit ribosomal RNA". The stretch from base 103 to 235 matches the Rfam family "MIR1120/MIR1122 microRNA precursor family". The record is from RNAcentral. Lineage: Eukaryota; Viridiplantae; Streptophyta; Magnoliopsida; Poales; Poaceae.
AUGGAUUUAGAUUUGGCAUGUGUUUAUCUUGACUGCUUAGGGUGGACGAAUUGUAGUUUUAUGCAUGUAACUCAGUCUGCUUUGACAACACUAGCAUGUUACUAUGUACUCCCUCCGUCCGAAAACUUGUCAUCAAAAUGGAUAAGAAGGGAUGUAUAUGUAACUAAAAUACGUAUAGAUACACCCCCUUUUAUUCAUUUUGAUGACAAGUAUUUUCGGACGGAGGGAGUACUACUAUUGUUCAAGAAGUUUCAUGAGUUGCAAGUGCUGCACUUCUCUAGUUUCAUUGAUGGUGUUUAA